This is a long non-coding RNA of Mustela lutreola (European mink), 867 nucleotides long. RefSeq lists it as uncharacterized. Lineage: Eukaryota; Metazoa; Chordata; Mammalia; Carnivora; Mustelidae. The transcript is spliced from 3 exons. The record is from RefSeq and is a predicted model, not a curated record.
UUUACUACUAUGUGACAGUUUUCCUACAGUCUUUUCCAGUUGGUUUAAAAACCAAAUAUUUGGAGAAGGAGCAGAGACACUUCUGUGGACUUGGCCUCGGAGGCUCAGCUCUGGAAUCUGUUUGAACCCCUCGCUCUCGGAACGAGCCUCUGAAAAACCUCAGAGAAGCAGUUCUCCAAAUAGCCCACAUGCAGCCAAAGAAAAGCCAAACCAAGAAAAAAAAAUCCUGAAGGGCAGCUUCCGCGGCAGAGCCGCUGCACGGAAGGCCAUGGCCAGGGUGCACCGAAAGGCCAGGGGAGGAAGUGCUGAGCGAGCGGGACGCCUGGCCCACUGGGGCAUGUGGGUCGCGGAGAAGCCAGCAGGACAGACUCGCUCUGGUGUUUACUCAGCUGUGGCCCAGCCCUGCUGCGACACCAUCUCUGCGCCAUCCACCUUGUCCCCAGCCGCCGCGCCCAGUGAGGUGGCCAUGGACGUGAACCCCGGAGCACAGUGAGGGCGAGCGGCGAAGGCUAGAACCCCAGCACGUGGCCCCCGGGAGGCAGCGGCACUCUGUCCGCGAGCCUGAGAAGAGUCCCAGAACUUCCUGGCUCUUUGGCUGACCUGACAUCAGACUGAAUAAAAACCUAAGCCCUCAAGGUUGUCUUCACGUAAAUCGCCGCAGACCUAGAGAAGAGCUGUGAUUGGGGCACCUCGCCAAGCUGACGGCUGGCCCGCUGUGUUUGAAAAGAGAGACAGAGCGAGGCCCGUAACGGAGCAGGAGAGAAACCAACACAAUCCCAAGUCACCGGGGUCUGAGUUUUUAAAGUUUCUUUCCAUGAAUUUCUUGACUAUUUUUAAAAAUGAUUGUAUGAUUUCCUAAGAUGGACA